This is a long non-coding RNA of Notolabrus celidotus (New Zealand spotty), 1744 nucleotides long. RefSeq lists it as uncharacterized. The record is from RefSeq and is a predicted model, not a curated record. NCBI's taxonomy places the organism in Eukaryota, Metazoa, Chordata, Actinopteri, Labriformes, Labridae. The transcript has 10 exons.
CACUCAGGAUGUGACGUUCAGGUGACGUUCAGGUGCUUGGGCCGUGUUCAGGUGACGUGCCUCACAGUAGCUUCCGGUUCCGGUUCCUCGACGCUGCUGCUGCUGCUGACUGACGCACGGACACGCUUCCUCCGGACCACAACGGGACUCUGCAGAACGACGAACAGACGGAGAAGACACACAGAAGAAGGAGAACAUGCUGGAAACUAAAGACCCGGACCCGGAGCGUGCAAGGGGGACACGAGACGAAGCUGCAGACCUGAAGAACAGCUGAUGGGAGGAGCACGUGUCUGUGAUGAAGUGGCUUCCUGGUGGCAAAAUAAAGUGCUGCAACUACCAGGAGAGUGUCCACCUGAACUAAAACUAAACUGAGCUUUAAAGGGACAUUUCACUGAGGGGGACCGGCUGACCCGAGGUGCUCCAUGACCCGGAGGUUGGGGUGUCCAGAAAGGGCGGCGGCCUCGGGGCCUCUUGGCUGGGCUCUUCUUUCCCUCUUCUCCUCCUCCUUCCCUCUGCUCCGUGAGCAUUACGUCUCAGGACGAGAGACACGACCUGAGGAGGACAGCAUACUCUAGCCUGCCUUACUCAAAGAAGAAAGAAGAAGAAGAUCCAUGGAGAAGAAGAGUGUCAAGAAGAAUGAGUUACUCUAAACAGAACUGGAGUGGACACAAGAACAUGAGAACUGAUCUGAGGUCCUGAUUCAUCGACCUGGGGAGGACAGCAAUACUGUAGCCUGUCUUAUCCAAAGAAGAUGGAGAAGAAGAAGAAGAUCCACGGAGAAGAGAAGAAGAAAAGACGUGGAGUGAAGAGUGUCGAGAAGAGGUGAGUCAGAUUAGAGCAGAGAGUUAAUCAGUGGCUGCAGGAAGUCUGGGUCUGUGAGGCCACGUGGUUGGGGAGCUGCAUGCUGCAUGGACUUCAGGGAGGAUUUGUUUGUCAGACUCUUCCUGUCCAAAUAAUGUUAAUUGAAAUGGAUCCAGCUGGGUAGUCUGUUGAAAAGGAUCAAACAAAGGCAACAUCCCAAGCUGCUGAACCCAGAGGUCAACACCUUUUCACCAAUAAGGAUCCAGCUCGGAUGAGGAGGUCCUGCCUGGAGAUCUGAAUUGCUUGUUUGGCUGAAUCUGCACUUCCAAGAGGGAGGAACUCCUCUGCUAACUCAAGGCGUGCUCAUUCAUCUGAGUCCACAUCACACACAUUAUAAUGUGACUGCUAAGUGGACUUGUCCAUCGGCGGGGUCUGGACCAGGAGGAUAGAAGAGCAGUGUGAGAAGAUGGACGAGCACCAAACAGCAGCUUGAGCAGCUCAUCAGAUCCCUCAAAGCCAAGAGCCGAGGAUCCCGGCAGCAGACUAGAAGUAUCUCCAAGAAGAUGACCAGUAUUUACAGGAUUGGGCUCAACCAGGGACCCUCACUGCUACAGGAAGGUGUACCUGCACCUGAUGGUGUUCAAAAUGGUUCUUCACUUGCAUCUUUGAUGUCCUCUUGAACAAGAGCAAGGAGCCGGACCCCCGUGCAGAAGCUGUUCCUGAAAAGAGAUCCAGCGCUAUGCCAACAAGAAGAAGUGAUUGUAAAUGUAUUUGUUCAAACUAAAUCUAAUUGUUGAGCCUAAAUCUUCAGUAUUCAACGUUAAAUGUAAAUUUUGAACAAUAGAUGUAAUUGUUCAACCUAAAUCUAGUAGUUUAAUGUUCAAUCCAAAUGUUUAACGUUAAAUUUAAAUGAUCAACAUUAAAUGUGAAUGUUCAACCUGAA